CGCGUAGGCGGGAUGGCAAGUCGGUCGUGAAAUCCUUCGGCUCAACCGAAGAACGUCGAUCGAUACUGCUGUUCUUGAGGGUUGCAGAGGAGACUGGAAUUCCCGGUGUAGCGGUGAAAUGUGUAGAGAUCGGGAGGAACACCGGUGGCGAAGGCGGGUCUCUGGGCAACUCCUGACGCUGAGGCGCGAAAGCGUGGGGAGCAAACGGGAUUAGAUACCCCGGUAGUCCACGCUGUAAACGAUGACGACUAGGUGUGGGGGGGUUCAGUCCCUUCCGUGCCGCAGCUAACGCAUUAAGUCGUCCGCCUGGGGAGUACGGCCGCAAGGUUGAA
Molecule: ribosomal RNA, 332 nt
Filed under: uncultured bacterium
Lineage: Bacteria
Description: bacterial SSU rRNA
Rfam family: Bacterial small subunit ribosomal RNA
Source: RNAcentral